GAAGAAGAAAAAUAUUCUUUACUGGGAAUUAAGAAAGUGAAGAAAACUUGGAGAUGGGUUGACAAUGAGGAGGAUAGGCUGCCACUACGCAUUUGCUCCACAUCGUUAAGGAGGGAAGGAGUGGAAAAAAAAUAACCAGGGAAGAAAGCUUGGACAGUGGACAUGGGCGUGAUUUUUACUUGGGAGUUGACCUUUGGAGAUGGAGGCCAAGCGAAGCCAGUGUGAUGCUGAUGCUUCCAGGGUGUGGCGAAUGCACGACUGGGACGAAAUAAUCUAUGGACUUUACAAGGUUCCUCUCACAUGGUGGAGCUUUGGUUGCGCGUUAGCGAAACAUACGCGAGCAUCUCACAUGGAAACAAACAACACACAAAUGGAGACUAGAGAAAAAGAGUGGAAGAAGAAGGAUUUUGGGAUCUGGGUGAUGAGAUGAGCAAACACGCCGAGGAAUCUCUUUCCAGGAAAGAAACGAGAGGUAUGGAUACGCCAAAAGAUUUGGGGAUAUAGAUCAUGCUUACACCACCUUUCAGCUGGAACCAUUCUAAAGAAGAGAUUUCCGGGAAGCACUCUAAAGAUAUGAGAAUUUUGAGGA
Long non-coding RNA from Selaginella moellendorffii, 589 nucleotides. RefSeq lists it as uncharacterized. Lineage: Eukaryota; Viridiplantae; Streptophyta; Lycopodiopsida; Selaginellales; Selaginellaceae. The record is from RefSeq and is a predicted model, not a curated record. The transcript is spliced from 2 exons.